This 2365-nucleotide long non-coding RNA is filed under the name Homo sapiens (human). RNAcentral describes it as "HSALNT0181264". The record is from RNAcentral. Lineage: Eukaryota; Metazoa; Chordata; Mammalia; Primates; Hominidae.
CAGGACUGAACUUUAGAGAGGAGGCUGGGAAAAGGAUCAAAAGGAGACAGACGCAGAACAACCAAGGAAUAAAAGGCUAAUAAGCAAAGAGGUGCGAAGAGCAGAGUUUCACCAAGGCUAGAGAGACCAACCAGCCAAGUGCAGUAGAAAGACCCAGUGAGGUAAGAACUAAGUCAUUCAUUAAACUUGGCAAUUAGCAAGUCAUUGGUAAUCAUAUUGACUCUAGUAUCCAUGAAUUAGUGAAUCAUGGGCAGGCUUCAUUGGAUUAAGAAGGUAGUGGAGGUCUUUAAAGUCAAAGGAAGGGAAGACUACCCUCACCCAGAUUAACAUUAUGGCUAUGACAUCCAGAUGUCCAAGAGGAGCCAAGUAGAAAGUGGUUAGUUAGAAAUGAUAAAUAUAAAAGUACCAGUGGUUCUGCAGAGAGCACUUUCUCUAGAGCAGUGAAACAGAAAUCAGAUAACAAGUGGGAAAAGUUUGCUAGUGGUGAGGACAUAGAGGCUUAGUGAGUUGACUGGUAAUUUGAGAUAGAAAAGCAUAAGAAAGAAUGAAAGACAAAGGAAAAGCAGGGUCAAGGCAGAGGUCUUUUGUUUGCAUGUAUGAGUUUUUGUUUUGCUUUACCUUCCAGUAGGCAUAACCUGAAUAUCUUGGCAGACAUACAGGAAGGAAAAAGUGGAGACAGCAAAUAUUGCAGGGAGAGUGUCUGAUGAAACCAUCUCAGAAGCAACAAGAGAAGGAAUGCUCCACAGCCAAACCACUUCAAUGUCUUCCUACUGGAGAGAGGAAGAGAAACCAGGAGAAUGGCAGCUAAUAAGUGUUGAAUGAUUGACUGAACUCCUGGUUCCUAUAAGAUUCUGUCUCUUGCUGAGUAUUAGCCAGGAUGCCUCUUAUCCGAACAACAACAAUAACAACAACAACAGCAACAACAAAAACCUUAAGAGAUCUAUUCACCAAGUAAUGCUUGCUUCUUUCAGUCUAACCAGGCUUCUUGGUAAGUCACAGAUGUUCCUCCCACCAGUAACUCAUUGACCAGAACUGUGCCAUGAACCUCUUGCUUCAAGAGAAUGAGGAGAAAUGAAUAUUUUCAGCUGGACACAUUGUCUUCCUGAAUGCAGAAAGGUAUUCUGUCCGUAAAGAAGAAGGCAGAAAUUAGGCUUUCCUACAGCAAGGGGAGAAAAAAGGUGAAAUUGCAGGCUAUACAUAAAGAACUGAACCUAAUAACAGCCUAUCUUAUUUUUGUCACAUCUACAACUGUGACUGUCACUCAGCCUGAGCCAGUCUCGCUGUUCUCCAGACAAUGGGAUUUGAGAGAGUGUCUCUGCUGUGUCUAUGCUGCGACAACCUUUUCUGGCAGUGGAGUAAGCGGAUGUGAGGCGGGCAGCAGUGCAGGGAGGAAAAGCCCUGAAGAUGAAUUACGUCCACUUCAGCAGGCUGACCCUCUCGGGCAGGAGGGCUUUGGCCUGGGAAAGUGGCCUUGAUCAGAACUCUUAAGAGUGCCCCGCAGAUCACUUGAGGUCAGGAGUUCGAGACCAGCCUGACCAACAUGGUGAAACUCCAUCUCUACUAAAACACAAAAAUUAUCUGGGUGUGGUGGUGGGCUCCUGUAAUCCCAGCUACUCAGGAGGCUAAGGCAGGAGAAUCGCUUGAACCCAUGAGGCGGAGGUCACAGUGAGCCGAGAUCAUGCCACUGCACUCCAGCGUAGGUGAAAGAGUGAGACUCUGUCUCAAAAAAAAAAAAAAAAGAUGCCCCACAUUCUACUCACCAAGCCCAGGAUGUAUGGGAUGCAAUGGGACAGGGAUAUGUGUGCAGUGUUUCAUCCCCUCUGGCUGCGGCAGGGCCCGGAACUAGGCAAUGCGGAGGGAAACCUGGCUGCCAUGGACAGGGCCUUCUUCCUGGAAUGACAUAUCUGGAAGUGAGCUUGAGAUGUGCCCUGGAACCCUGCUGGCUUCAAGGCCUGUUGUGAUGGACAGCGGAAGGGCCCUGAUAUGGGUGGAAUCAUAUCCCCCCAAAGAGGAUAUGUUGAAGUCCUAACCCCCAAUACCUCAGAAGGUGAACUUCUUUGGAAAUAGAGUCAUUGCAGAUGUAAUUAGUUAAGCUAAACUGAGGUCAUACUAGAGGGAGGUGGGCCCCAAUCCAAUGACUGGUGUCCUCAGAAGAAGAGGAAACAGAUACAAAGCAGAUGACCAUGUGAUGAUAGAAGCACAGAUCGAAGUGAUGUUGCCACAAGCCAAGAAAUGCCUACAGCUCCAGAGGCUGGAGGAAACAAGAAAGAAUCCUCUUCUACAGACUUCCAAGAAAGCACCGUCCUUUCGGCACCUUCGUUUUGGACUUGUAGCCUCCACAACUGUGAGAGAGUAAAAUUUCUAC